Molecule: ribosomal RNA, 1485 nt
Filed under: Triticum aestivum (bread wheat)
Lineage: Eukaryota; Viridiplantae; Streptophyta; Magnoliopsida; Poales; Poaceae
Description: partial small subunit ribosomal RNA
Source: RNAcentral
AUGGCGGCGUUUGCGGCGAAAGGGUCGCUGCGGGGGGGCUGCUUCACGGCGAGCGGCCUCUCCGGGAAGAACCCUCCUCCAAGUAACAGCUUCUGCAACCACUUUGUGCCGUCGCGGAGCAACGCUGUUCCGUCCAUGGCCUGGGGCAUGGGCUGCGACAGAAGGCAGGUGAAGCUGAAGGCCCAGGUGCCUAAGUGGGUUUUGCUGAACGAUGAUUAUCUGUAUGAUGAUCAAGCAUUACAGAUCGACACAAUUGUUUCCAGUUCAGCUGUGUACAUCGACCUUCUCAACAGGGAACGUUAUCGGGAUCCAGUGUUAGGGAGAACAAAGCCGGAGGUAACAUAUCAGCACAAGCAGCGCCUGGAGGCUGAUGAGAAGCGCUUGAGAGAUCUUGUGGAUGGCCUGGUUGAGUCCAUCUCAUCGGACAGUAAGAACUACAGAUACGUCAUAAUGUCCAUCAAAGAGAAUGCUAAUAUGAUUAUGGAGGAGGGUUUUAUUUCCUCUUAUGCUCGAGAUGAAAUUUUAGAAGGUCUUGAAAGGAUAGAGAAGGACAUUGAAGUGGGAAAAUUCCAUUGGAGAAACAAUAAAGAUAUCCGGUCUAACAUUGUUGAAGCACUCAUUGACAUAGUUGAAGGGCCAGCAAAAAGGCUGGAUGCAGUAAUAAGCCGUUACGCUCAAAUUCUUACAGUCCUCCAAAUAUGGUGUCAUGACUCCAUUGAUAAAUUUGUUGCCCAGAUAAAAGAACUCCAGGUUGAGCUUGUUUUGCUAGCGAUAAGAAAUGAGGGAUUGGUCCUACCUUGCACCGCUAGGAAUGCAGACUGUAUUCUACUUGGCGAUCUGGUAUUAUCAAAAGUUGAACAGCUAGAAAAUGAUGUCUCUCAGCUGGUUAGCUGCAAAAACAAGAUUGGCUCUACACUACAAACUUCUUUCCUUUCAGGCCGCACCGAUGAUUCUAUGAACAGCUUAUCAAAGGGUAGUUUGCAUCACAUAUGCAAUUCUAUUUUGAAAUUUGGAAACCUGAUCGUUGGUGACAUCGCGCACGAUGUUACAGAUCUUGAACAGGACCUGCAUUCAUGGAUGCGGAUGUUGACACAAAAUGAUGAAGUGACCCAAAGUUUAUUGCUUAUGUGGAGGCACCAGAUUGAUCUAGAUAUUUUUAAUGUCAUUCAAAGUUCUGGCUCUAUCUACAAUGCUGAUGUGGAUAGCAGCAAGCGGUUUUUGAAAGCCUGUAAAGUGGUUCCAGAAAUGAUCAGAGCAGCUAGAGGGUUUGUAAAACACACAUCUUUUAAUCACGAAAAGAUCCAGAGCUUUCCACCUAAGAGUUUUCUUGAUGCUCCACAGCUUGCAGGAUUCCGUUCAGCCAAGGAUCUGGAUCACGGAGCUGGCGCUGCUGCGAAGCAAGAUUUCAAAUUUCACAGUGACCAUACAACGGGGAGGCUGCUUGGCUGGCUUCGACGUCUUCAUCAAUCCGGGCAGAAUAGCUAG